This 144-nucleotide ribosomal RNA is filed under the name Paraurostyla weissei. Its description in RNAcentral is "partial 17S ribosomal RNA". It matches the Rfam family "Eukaryotic small subunit ribosomal RNA", at positions 1678 to 1831 of the family's 1831-position model. Lineage: Eukaryota; Ciliophora; Spirotrichea; Stichotrichida; Amphisiellidae. The record is from RNAcentral.
GCUCCUACCGAUUUCGAGUGAUCCGGUGAACCUUUUGGACCGCGGGGUCUCGUGGCCUUGUGGAAAAUCAAGUAAACCAUAUCACUUAGAGGAAGGAGAAGUCGUAACAAGGUUUCCGUAGGUGAACCUGCGGAAGGAUCAUUA